UACGUAGGGUGCGAGCGUUAAUCGGAAUUACUGGGCGUAAAGCGUGCGCAGGCGGUUCGCUAAGACCGAUGUGAAAUCCCCGGGCUUAACCUGGGAACUGCAUUGGUGACUGGCGGGCUAGAGUAUGGCAGAGGGGGGUAGAAUUCCACGUGUAGCAGUGAAAUGCGUAGAGAUGCGGAGGAACACCGAUGGCGAAGGCAGCCCCCUGGGCUGACACUGACGCUCAGGCACGAAAGCGUGGGGAGCAAACAGG
This 253-nucleotide ribosomal RNA is filed under the name uncultured bacterium. Its description in RNAcentral is "partial 16S ribosomal RNA". It matches the Rfam family "Bacterial small subunit ribosomal RNA", at positions 524 to 776 of the family's 1533-position model. The record is from RNAcentral.